Molecule: non-coding RNA, 1844 nt
Organism: Podarcis lilfordi (Lilford's wall lizard)
Lineage: Eukaryota; Metazoa; Chordata; Lepidosauria; Squamata; Lacertidae
Source: the annotation of a GenBank genome assembly
GGUCAUCUAGUUCAACCCCGUGAAAUGCAGGAAUCAAAAUCCAUCAGAAUCAUUUCACCAAAUGUCACUUUUGUAGCAUAGGAUUUUGUGGAUACAUACUAACAGCAAACCAAAAAAAAAUUCUGAGUGUAUAUAUAUUUAUGUAGCCAAAAUAACAUGUACACCAGAGCUUUCCCAACUGCGUCGCGACACGUUAGUGUGUCAGCUGCAGUGUGUCGUGCAAACACUCCUCGCACUCCUCCUAGCACUGGAAAGGGGUUAGUUUAACCUCUGGUUUGCUAGUACAACUGAAAUGCUGUGCUGCAAAAUGAUGCAUGUCUAAAAAGCGUGUCACCAACAUGAAAAGUUUGGAAAGCUCUGAUGUACAUAUAAGACUUGCAGGCUUGUUGAACCCCCCACGUUUUGCAGAAAUAAAGUAAAAACAUUAGGGAGAACCCAAAAUAUCUUAAGGGGUCACAUUCCCUUCUGCCCUACCUUCAGAUGGCCAAAUACCAGUGGUGGGCAGGGCUGAAAUGUAGCUAUGUGAAGUCUUAACUACAGUUCUGAGGGUUCUCAAGAGGGAAGCUUUGGCUGUUAAAGUAGUAUAAGAGUGUUUUAAAUGUAUGGUGUGGAUGUGACCAUGCUUUGUGAGAGGGAAGAGUCAUUAACACUGAGAAUGCUUGAUUCUAUGUUGCUCUCGACUUUUCAUUAUCUUGACAAGCUUAAGGCACUGUAGUCACAUGUCUGUUUGAUAACUUUAAUAAAGGAGGACAGUAAUAGAAUCCUAGCCCAAAGGCACCUGGUGCAAUAUUAAAAACCCACAAUCUAAACACAUCGCAGUAGGGGAAGAAAAAUAAAAACAGAAACCUCUAAAAAAAAAUUUUUUUUAAAUACCAAAACAGAAUAACAACAACAACAAGCACUAGUUCACCAAAGUGGACACACCAACCAUAAACACAGACAAUAAAAUCACUAAUACCAACAAUCAAUGAUAAAAAAUUAGUACCACAAUUAAAGCAGGAAACAAUUUUUUAAAACUCUGCAUAUAACUAGCAUAUUCUGUAAUAUUAACCACCAAUAAAUGAGUUCUGAAAUUUUACACACACUCUCUCUCUCUCUGACAUUCUUUGAUCAAAUGAUGAAAUAUGGAGGAGAGUUUGAGGAAAGUGUUAAUUCCUCCAUAAGUUGGAAAUAAUAUUCUUCCCUAAUGUGCAGCUGCAAAGUGCUCGUAAUUCCUUAUCUCUGUUGCUAUGCAGCCUGGCACGUAGAGCUGGCCUAUGUAAGAGGGCCCACAUUUCAUCAUUCCUUCUGGAGACAAAACCUGAAGACAAAGAGUGGAGAAACUGCUGGAGAGAAAUAAUUGGAGAUAAGUUAAAAAUUGAAGAAAGUUGGAGAACUGGACUUAAAGAAUUGUGGAGUUUGGCAAAUGGACUUUGUACUUGCUUUGUGGACUUUGUUCAAAGAAGGACUCUGAGCUCAGUUGGUAGAGCAUGAGACUCUUAAUCUCAGGGUUGUGUGUUGGAGCUCCACAAUUGGGCAAAAGACUCCUGCAUUGUAGGGGGCUAGACUAGAUGACCCUUGUGGUCCCUUCCAGCUCUAUGAUUCUAUGAAUUUGGCUAUGAAAGCUAAAUCCCUCCCUGGGCUCAGUGUGGGUAUAGAGUAUUUUGUAUUUACUAAGUUAAGCAAUUUCUGCUAAAGCAAGCUUAAUUGUUUGACUGAACUUCUGUGGGCAUACACAACACCGAACAGAGAGCCUCACCCUGCUAUCUCAGGGAUUGAGGAAUACCAUAUAGAAAUAGAUGUUUUCUGAAACAAGAGAAUACUUGGAUAACUGUUUACAGUACAAAACUUUCUGGACAUUUUGU